GGCUGCAUUUCAUGAGGCUGCAGCUGACAAGAAGCUUCAAGUGGAAAUUUUCCUGGACCUGAUCAAGCGCAUAACCUGGUUGCUGUGUUGGCUAUAGCCCUGCGUGUGUACUCCUUGCAACUCAUUCUUUCAGACUCACAGCCUAGGUUAAUAUCAGAGAUGCACAUUACCUGGUGAAUCUGUAUGUGAACCUAGUUGAGCCCCAGAAAGGCAGUGCAACAACAGAAGCCUCUAGCAGGAAGAAGGCCCUGCUGGACAAGCAGCCGGAGUGAGAAUCAAAACAGGAUCACAGGGACAGACUCUCCACAAUCCAUGUGA
Myotis davidii is the source of this 318-nucleotide long non-coding RNA. RefSeq lists it as uncharacterized. The record is from RefSeq and is a predicted model, not a curated record. The transcript has 3 exons. NCBI's taxonomy places the organism in Eukaryota, Metazoa, Chordata, Mammalia, Chiroptera, Vespertilionidae.